RNAcentral lists this ribosomal RNA (483 nucleotides) under uncultured bacterium. RNAcentral's name for it is "bacterial SSU rRNA". It matches the Rfam family "Bacterial small subunit ribosomal RNA", at positions 28 to 524 of the family's 1533-position model. The record is from RNAcentral.
GACGAACGCUGGCGGCGCGCCUAACACAUGCAAGUCGAACGGAGCUGAGAGGAGCUUGCUUUUCUCAGCUUAGUGGCGAACGGGUGAGUAACGCGUGAGUAACCUGCCCUGGAGUGGGGGACAACAGUUGGAAACGACUGCUAAUACCGCAUAGGCCCACGGAUCCGCAUGGAUCUGCGGGAAAAGGAUUUAUUCGCUUCAGGAUGGACUCGCGUCCAAUUAGCUAGUUGGUGAGGUAACGGCCCACCAAGGCGACGAUUGGUAGCCGGACUGAGAGGUUGAACGGCACAUUGGGACUGAGACACGGCCCAGACUCCUACGGGAGGCAGCAGUGGGGAUAUUGCACAAUGGGGGAAACCCUGAUGCAGCGACGCCGCGUGGAGGAAGAAGGUUUUCGGAUUGUAAACUCCUGUCGUUAGGGACGAUAAUGACGGUACCUAACAAGAAAGCACCGGCUAACUACGUGCCAGCAGCCGCGGUAAU